This 433-nucleotide ribosomal RNA is filed under the name uncultured bacterium. RNAcentral describes it as "partial 16S ribosomal RNA". It matches the Rfam family "Bacterial small subunit ribosomal RNA", at positions 29 to 507 of the family's 1533-position model. The record is from RNAcentral.
AACGAACGCUGGCGGCAGGCCUAACACAUGCAAGUCGAGCGAGGACUUCGGUUCUAGCGGCGGACGGGUGAGUAACGCGUGGGAAUGUGCCCUUCUCUACGGAAUAGCCCUGGGAAACUGGGAGUAAUACCGUAUACGCCCUAUUGGGGAAAGAUUUAUCGGAGAAGGAUCAGCCCGCGUUGGAUUAGGUAGUUGGUGGGGUAAUGGCCUACCAAGCCGACGAUCCAUAGCUGGUUUGAGAGGAUGAUCAGCCACACUGGGACUGAGACACGGCCCAGACUCCUACGGGAGGCAGCAGUGGGGAAUCUUAGACAAGGGGGGCAACCCUGAUCUAGCCAUGCCGCGUGAGUGAUGAAGGCCUUAGGGUUGUAAAGCUCUUUCAGCUGGGAAGAUAAUGACGGUACCAGCAGAAGAAGCCCCGGCUAACUCCGUG